This is a long non-coding RNA of Nothoprocta perdicaria, 362 nucleotides long. RefSeq lists it as uncharacterized. The transcript has 2 exons. The record is from RefSeq and is a predicted model, not a curated record. Lineage: Eukaryota; Metazoa; Chordata; Aves; Tinamiformes; Tinamidae.
AUCCCCAGUGAGGCUGUUUUACUGCCGUGCUCAGAAAUGUGUCUCCGCUGCUGCUGCUGCCAGAGGCUCCGUUGUUAGAUGAUCUCUGCUGCUCAUCUCAGAGGCUGCACGGAUGGGAGGAAAAUACCCUGUGCACAACCAAUAACCGAAUGGAAUGGAACCGAAUGGACUUUGGAGAACUGUGUCCAAAAGAUACUUGCUGUAAGUAAAGAGGCCAUUCUUUAAACUGUCCAGAAACAUUUCUGAGAUUCACUGGAGAGAUUUAGAGGAGAAACUUUUGAAAUUCUUCAAUCUUACCACAGCAAUAGAUAGUGUAGUUAAAAAUGUAUCAAGCCAGUACAUGGGAAGAUGAUGUCAGAAAC